RNAcentral lists this long non-coding RNA (288 nucleotides) under Homo sapiens (human). Its description in RNAcentral is "HSALNT0328656". The record is from RNAcentral. Lineage: Eukaryota; Metazoa; Chordata; Mammalia; Primates; Hominidae.
GGCAGAAACGUGUUGUAUUUGCAUGCUGUUUAGAAGGCAGUGUACUGAAUAGUACCAGUUUUUUCAGAGACAAAUAUGGUGUACUUAUUUGAAAAGAAAGGAUGAUACACAUACAUAGCCAUCCAAAAAAUCCUGCAACCAGUAGCAAAUUAUAUUACACAUUGGACACAUCCUAAAUGAUGCAAGGUUGCUAAUUCUCUCUGUUGGUAAUAUCUUUUGAUGCUGUUGUGUCCAGAAUUGAUUCAUUCCUGUGGGUUCUUGGUCUCACUGACUUCAAGAAUAAAGCUG